This 549-nucleotide ribosomal RNA is filed under the name uncultured bacterium. RNAcentral describes it as "bacterial SSU rRNA". It matches the Rfam family "Bacterial small subunit ribosomal RNA", at positions 355 to 896 of the family's 1533-position model. The record is from RNAcentral.
UGGGGAAUUUUGGACAAUGGGCGCAAGCCUGAUCCAGCCAUGCCGCGUGUCUGAAGAAGGCCUUCGGGUUGUAAAGGACUUUUGUCAGGGAAGAAAAGGCUGUUGCUAAUAUCAGCGGCUGAUGACGGUACCUGAAGAAUAAGCACCGGCUAACUACGUGCCAGCAGCCGCGGUAAUACGUAGGGUGCAAGCGUUAAUCGGAAUUACUGGGCGUAAAGCGAGCGCAGACGGUUACUUAAGCAGGAUGUGAAAUCCCCGGGCUCAACCUGGGAACUGCGUUCUGAACUGGGUGACUAGAGUGUGUCAGAGGGAGGUAGAAUUCCACGUGUAGCAGUGAAAUGCGUAGAGAUGUGGAGGAAUACCGAUGGCGAAGGCAGCCUCCUGGGAUAACACUGACGUUCAUGCUCGAAAGCGUGGGUAGCAAACAGGAUUAGAUACCCUGGUAGUCCACGCCCUAAACGAUGUCAAUUAGCUGUUGGGCAACUUGAUUGUUCAGUAGCGUANCUAACGCGUGAAAUUGACCGCCUGGGGAGUACGACCGCAAGGUUG